RNAcentral lists this ribosomal RNA (496 nucleotides) under uncultured bacterium. RNAcentral's name for it is "partial 16S ribosomal RNA". It matches the Rfam family "Bacterial small subunit ribosomal RNA", at positions 28 to 506 of the family's 1533-position model. The record is from RNAcentral.
GAUGAACGCUGGCGGCGUGCCUAAUACAUGCAAGUCGAGCGAACAGACGAGGAGCUUGCUCCUCUGACGUUAGCGGCGGACCGGUGAGUAACACGUGGAUAACCUACCUAUAAGACUGGGAUAACUUCGGGAAAACGGAGCUAAUACCGGAUAAUAUAUUGAACCGCAUGAUUCAAUAGUGAAAUACGGUUUUGCUGUCACUUAUAGAUGGACCCGCGCCGAAUUAGCUAGUUGGUAAGGUAACGGCUUACCACGGCGACGAUGCGUAGCCGACCUGAGAGGGUGAUCGGCCACACUGGAACUGAGACACGGUCCAGACUCCUACGGGAGGCAGCAGUAGGGAAUCUUCCGCAAUGGGCGAAAGCCUGACGGAGCAACGCCGCGUGAGUGAUGAAGGUCUUCGGAUCGUAAAACUCUGUUAUUAGGGAAGAACAAAUGUGUAAGUAACUAUGCACGUCUUGACGGUACCUAAUCAGAAAGCCACGGCUAACUACGU